GAAAAAGAUGAAGGAAAGGCCUGACUUUUGUAUCUAGUCACAGACACUGCCAGAAGGCAGCAACACAACAUGAAGCUCAUUCCAACUGAAACACAACAAAGGAGAUACCACAGAUAUUUUGAACAGGAUCUGGGGGCCAGAAGAGCAGGAAGAAGACGGAACACACAUCCAAAUAUAGUGGUGAAAAGGCAGAUUCUUGUAGGUUGUGACAAGGAAGUUAAUAUCCACCAGCAGGAAUGGUCAUUGUCUCUUUCCAAUAGCUGUUUUCUUAAGAAUGGUGCUGGAGAACAUCAUUUCAGUGAUGGACAAAAGUUAUCACACCUACUGCUACAUUACAAA
RNAcentral lists this long non-coding RNA (339 nucleotides) under Cricetulus griseus (Chinese hamster). RNAcentral's name for it is "lncRNA (ENSCGRG00000026314.1)". Lineage: Eukaryota; Metazoa; Chordata; Mammalia; Rodentia; Cricetidae. The record is from RNAcentral.